This 527-nucleotide ribosomal RNA is filed under the name uncultured Tricholomataceae. Its description in RNAcentral is "eukaryotic LSU rRNA". The stretch from base 118 to 271 matches the Rfam family "5.8S ribosomal RNA". Lineage: Eukaryota; Fungi; Basidiomycota; Agaricomycetes; Agaricales; Tricholomataceae. The record is from RNAcentral.
GGUUUGGGAGAUUGUUAGCCCUUCUCCUGCUUCUUCAAGGCUAUGUUUUCAUAUACACUAUAAAGUUACAGAAUGUCUUUUAACGAUUGUGCUUGUCGCAGUCAUUAAACCUUAUACAACUUUCAGCAACGGAUCUCUUGGCUCUCCUAUCGAUGAAGAACGCAGCGAAAUGCGAUAAGUAAUGUGAAUUGCAGAAUUCAGUGAAUCAUCGAAUCUUUGAACGCACCUUGCGCCCUUUGGUAUUCCGAAGGGCAUGCCUGUUUGAGUGUCAUUAAAUUAUCAACCUUAGCUCUCUUUUGAGUUCAAGGCUUGGAUGUGAGGGCUUUGCUGGCUUCCUUCAGUGGAUGGUCUGCUCCCUUUAAAUGCAUUAGUGGGAUCUCUUGUGGACCGUCACUUGGUGUGAUAAUUAUCUAUGCCAUUUGACUUUGAANCAAACUUAUGGGAACCUGCUUAUAACCGUCCUUUGGGACAAUAUUUGACAUUUUGACCUCNAAUCANGUAGGACUACCCCCUGAACUUAAUCAUAU